This 258-nucleotide ribosomal RNA is filed under the name uncultured bacterium. RNAcentral's name for it is "partial small subunit ribosomal RNA". It matches the Rfam family "Bacterial small subunit ribosomal RNA", at positions 26 to 285 of the family's 1533-position model. The record is from RNAcentral.
AGGACGAACGCUGGCGGCGUGCUUAACACAUGCAAGUCGAGCGAGGCCCUUCCUUCGGGAAGGUGCCCUAGCGGCGAACGGGUGAGUAACACGUGGGCAACCUGCCCCUAGCACUGGGAUAACUCCGGGAAACCGGGGCUAAUACCGGAUAUGACCUUCGAGGGCAUCCUUGAAGGUGUAAAGGAUUCUGGCUAGGGAUGGGCCCGCGGCCUAUCAGCUUGUUGGUGGGGUAAUGGCCUACCAAGGCGACGACGGGUA